GUGGGGAAUCUUGCGCAAUGGGCGAAAGCCUGACGCAGCCAUGCCGCGUGAAUGAUGAAGGUCUUAGGAUUGUAAAAUUCUUUCACCGGGGACGAUAAUGACGGUACCCGGAGAAGAAGCCCCGGCUAACUUCGUGCCAGCAGCCGCGGUAAUACGAAGGGGGCUAGCGUUGCUCGGAAUUACUGGGCGUAAAGGGCGCGUAGGCGGACAGUUUAGUCAGAGGUGAAAGCCCAGGGCUCAACCUUGGAAUUGCCUUUGAUACUGGCUGUCUUGAGUACGGGAGAGAUGAGUGGAACUCCGAGUGUAGAGGUGAAAUUCGUAGAUAUUCGGAAGAACACCAGUGGCGAAGGCGACUCACUGGCCCGUUACUGACGCUGAGGCGCGAAAGCGUGGGGAGCAAACAGGAUUAGAUACCCGGGUAGUCC
This 425-nucleotide ribosomal RNA is filed under the name uncultured bacterium. Its description in RNAcentral is "partial 16S ribosomal RNA". It matches the Rfam family "Bacterial small subunit ribosomal RNA", at positions 354 to 796 of the family's 1533-position model. The record is from RNAcentral.